RNAcentral lists this ribosomal RNA (206 nucleotides) under uncultured bacterium. RNAcentral describes it as "partial 16S ribosomal RNA". It matches the Rfam family "Bacterial small subunit ribosomal RNA", at positions 568 to 774 of the family's 1533-position model. The record is from RNAcentral.
CGUGUAGGCGGCCAUGCAAGUCGGAUGUGAAAGCCCUCGGCUCAACCGGGGAAGUGCACUCGAAACUGCAAGGCUAGAGUCUCGGAGAGGAUCGUGGAAUUCUCGGUGUAGAGGUGAAAUUCGUAGAUAUCGAGAGGAACACCGGUGGCGAAGGCGGCGAUCUGGACGAUGACUGACGCUGAGACGCGAAAGCGUGGGAGCAAACA